Molecule: ribosomal RNA, 447 nt
Filed under: uncultured bacterium
Lineage: Bacteria
Description: bacterial SSU rRNA
Rfam family: Bacterial small subunit ribosomal RNA
Source: RNAcentral
AUCCAGACUCCUACGGGAGGCAGCAGUGGGGAAUAUUGCACAAUGGGGGGAACCCUGAUGCAGCGACGCCGCGUGGGUGAAGGAGUACUUCGGUACGUAAAGCCCUAUCAGCAGGAAAGAAAAUGACGGUACCUGACUAAGAAGCCCCGGCUAACUACGUGCCAGCAGCCGCGGUAAUACGUAGGGGGCAAGCGUUAUCCGGAUUUACUGGGUGUAAAGGGAGCGUAGACGGCAGUGCAAGUCCGGAGUGAAAGCCCGGGGCUCAACCCUGGGACUGCUCUGGAAACUGCGUCGCUGGAGUACGGGAGGGGCAGGCGGAAUUCCUGGUGUAGCGGUGAAAUGUGUAGAUAUCAGGAGGAACACCGGCGGCGAAGGCGGCCUGCUGGACCGUGACUGACGUUGAGGCUCGAAAGCGUGGGGAGCGAACAGGAUUAGAUACCCCUGUAC